RNAcentral lists this long non-coding RNA (1309 nucleotides) under Scleropages formosus (Asian bonytongue). RNAcentral describes it as "lncRNA (ENSSFOG00015031780.1)". The record is from RNAcentral. Lineage: Eukaryota; Metazoa; Chordata; Actinopteri; Osteoglossiformes; Osteoglossidae.
GUGUGUGUGUGUGUGGGGGGGGGGGGGGGGGGGUAAAUGACAUUACGCAGCGUCCGGCGUCGUUUUCUGACAGACUUGUGGCGGUAAAUGAAACAAUUUACAUCGCAAAGACGAUUUUAAUCGCGCGGCAGAGCGGCUUCGCGCGGAUGGAGGCGCCGACGCGCGAGGCAGGGACCGGGAAGGGAGGGAAGGAGAGGUGGAGGGGGGGGGGAGUGGGGGGACGGACACGGAGCGCCGGAGUGGGAGGGAGCCGAGCAAUUAUUAUGAUGAUGACUGACUGACUGACACACAGCAUCCAAAUAACGUCAGAGACUUUAUUGGGAAUAAUAGUCCGCCGAAAAGCGCUUCUUAGUUUCUCGGGGAGGAAAGAAAAAGAAAAGAAGGAAAAAAGAAAAGAAAAGAAAGGGGGAAAAAAAAGCACGCGCGCGCGCGUAUAGAGAGACAGAGAGGAGUGCGUGUUGUUGGAGCUGCGAAUUCGCUGCAAAAUAACGUGGCAAAAAAUCAUCACGAUGAUGAGAGAGAAAGAAGAAGCGGAGACGCGCGGGCGCCGAGGAUCGUCGGGAUCGUAAAGAAUUAGAGCGUCGGGCGGCGUUUCUCGGGAAGGUGGUGCUGCCGUGAACACAUGAAGGAGGUCUGCGCGACGGGCAGGACCAGCCUCACCAGCAGAGCAAAUCAUCGAUUUUGUCUUUGAUCACAAAGACAUUCAGAUGAGCAUCCACAACAUACAAUGCAGGCUGUUGCAACGUGAAUGUUUUACACGUUGAAUCCUCGUAAUGUUUACAUUAUCAUGGAGUCUGCCUGACUCCGAUUUGGAAGAAAUGGACGGCUGGAAGAGGACAGUCCUGCGAAGGCGGGGACUGGGCAGUGGACUGGCGUGGGCUCUGCAGAUGGAAGGGCCGAGGGCAACGCUCAUGGGAUAGGCUGGCCGACACACACCAUGGUGGUCUCUGUCCAAUCUCACAAACACACCAGUAGAGAAGUUUAAGCCCCGACCGAACCAGAAGACAGUGCCAGAGUGACAGUGUGAGUUGACAAAGGGCCCCUUCUGUCACAGAAGGUUCUAGAAGGUUUUCAGCAGUGACCUGCAGUCGACAGCACAGACCCCCUCCAAGCCCCAAGUAGGCUCUUUGUAUCAGAGGUAAGAUCCUUUUAGUUACUAUCGUUGGCAUACAGGUAAUGAAUAUAAGCCUAAAAACUACUACAAUGCAUAUAUCAAAAUAUAUAGAUAGUGUUGUUUAAUAUCAUUCAACAUUUUUAUGUACAAUCUAGGCAGUGCUCAUUAUCCCACCAAAUGACAAUAUUCUGAACU